CUCUCAGUAAGACCCACAAGGCCAAGCCUGGGUUUCUAGCCUCAGCUGAGCCCCCUCCCCUCUCUCCCAGGCAGGCUCUAGCCAGACUGAGCUGCUUUCAGCUCUCUCUCCUCCCCUCCGGGUGUUUGCACAGACAAAUCCCUCCCUGCCCCAUCCUCUUUCACCUGGCUAACACCUCAUCCCUGACCAUCGUGGGAGGGGGUGGAUCCUGACCCCUAAGAUGGGUCCUUGUUCAGUUGAGGACUGGGGUAUAAGUCCCAUGAGAUCUCCUGAGGUACCCCACCUCUCAGAAAAAAAA
Molecule: non-coding RNA, 298 nt
Organism: Ceratotherium simum simum (southern white rhinoceros)
Lineage: Eukaryota; Metazoa; Chordata; Mammalia; Perissodactyla; Rhinocerotidae
Source: RefSeq, a predicted model, not a curated record